Molecule: ribosomal RNA, 465 nt
Filed under: Vreelandella stevensii
Lineage: Bacteria; Pseudomonadati; Pseudomonadota; Gammaproteobacteria; Oceanospirillales; Halomonadaceae
Description: partial 16S ribosomal RNA
Rfam family: Bacterial small subunit ribosomal RNA
Source: RNAcentral
CCUACGGGGGGCUGCAGUGGGGAAUAUUGGACAAUGGGGAGAACCCUGAUCCAGCCAUGCCGCGUGUGUGAAGAAGGCCCUCGGGUUGUAAAGCACUUUCAGUGAGGAAGAACGCCUGGUGGUUAAUACCCAUCAGGAAAGACAUCACUCACAGAAGAAGCACCGGCUAACUCCGUGCCAGCAGCCGCGGUAAUACGGAGGGUGCGAGCGUUAAUCGGAAUUACUGGGCGUAAAGCGCGCGUAGGUGGCUUGAUAAGCCGGUUGUGAAAGCCCCGGGCUCAACCUGGGAACGGCAUCCGGAACUGUCAAGCUAGAGUGCAGGAGAGGAAGGUAGAAUUCCCGGUGUAGCGGUGAAAUGCGUAGAGAUCGGGAGGAAUACCAGUGGCGAAGGCGGCCUUCUGGACUGACACUGACACUGAGGUGCGAAAGCGUGGGUAGCAAACAGGAUUAGAUACCCUAGUAGUC